UGCCGUUGAGGACCGUGUGGACCGCAGGAGGAUCCCUGAUGCUUUGUUGCUCCUGUGAUCUUCAAUUUGAUGUGUGGCUGUCUACAAACGUACAGUAGCUUCAUUCAAAUUCUUUUUAGGAAUUGUUAGAAGAAUUUCUUUGUAGAGUUGAGAGAAAAGAUGCGUAGACAAUAGAAUUAUUUUCAGGUUUGCAAUAAUUCGUUCUAUUUGCUUGCAAACAAAUUGCACAAGCCGUUCAUUUGUUGGAUGAUGUUUGCAUGUAUUUCUAGCAAGUUAUAAAAACUGAUGGAAGAUGCUUCGUGUAUUCUUUUGUGUGUCUACCAGAACAGGCAUGGUGGGAGGGCGAUGCUCCAUUGAUUGCUUUUCUUAAUAUUACAGAGGGAGCAUCGAAGUGGCGAUUGGUACUUUCCCUUUCAGCGGCCAAAGAAAAGCAACACUUUUUCAUGUGAUUUCAGAUGAAACGACCAGAGUGUGUAAAAUCUAGAUCGCUACAAACAGGUCAAGGUUAGUUAUGUUUCUCCUUUUGAUAUUCUCUAGAUAAUGUUAUCAAGCAAGAUCACCUUAGGACAAUAUAAUCUACUAUUUACUUUCUUUGUGUUUCAGUACGUUCGAACUAUUUACAUGUGUGCAAAUGGGCAGAUUUUGAUUAUGCGACUUGGUGCCUUACUUGUUCUGCCUAACUGUUGGAUCCUAGCUCUUAUGUUAUCUACCUAUACCCAGUGCAUGCUAAAAAAUAAAAAUAAAACCUAUGGCCAGUGAUAUGUUUAUGGCUGGAUGUCUACUGCUUCUGUCAAUGCCAUAGUAGAUUCGAUCGAAACUGAUAUAUCUAAACAACAAUUGUUUCAUUUCGAUCAGAUAACAUUAUUUUUUCUGAAAAAUCACAUCCUUUUAUUCAAGUUUGUGGGUGUUUUCCCUGAUCUGUUUGCAACUUGGCAUGAGAGUCCGUUUAUGCAUGUAGUUAUUUUGGUCCAGAAAUCGACCAUGGAUGAUGCUUCUUAUUUUGAAGAGACUAAGUUCUUCCGAGUCUCCGAUAAAAUAAAUAAAGAGGGCUUUAAUGAGAUGAUGCUUCUUAUUUAAUGUUGUUAGAUCUCCUAAAAUAGUUUGAAGGCGUGGGGCUUGCUGGUCAAGUAGGUUGCGCUGCUCCAUCAGGAUGUCCUCCCCCAGUGUAGUGUUAACUGAUUAAUCAUGCACAUCCAUUAAAGCAAAUAUUCAGAAAAAUGUUUAGUUCACUAAUUUAUCAUUCGGUAAAGGACCAGUUGUUUAAUCCUACUAUCUAGACACUUCAUCCAUCCAAUCCAGUAAGUUUAAAUUGAUUAAUCCUGCACAUUCUUAAAUUAUGAAGAGUAAAAAAAGAUUUUGGUGUUGGAGGAGCAGCCAGCAAGUGCAGUUUGCAAACCAAAUGCAGUUUCUAUAGUGAACACUGAUUUGCGACCUCAGCUCAGCCAUAUUGGACGGAUUGAUUACUUUGUGAAAUAGGAGUUAGCCCAUAAUAGAAAUGCCACUCCAAUAUUGGAGGAAGUGUUGAUUGAGCUGAGAAAUUUACUUGAUGAUGAAAGGAACGAUUGGCUUCAAAAUUUGCAGAAUAACUUCUCCAAGCUCUCAGAAGAGAAGCAAUAAUGUGACUCCCAGGUGCAUCUCUGAGAGAAAAGCUGGAGAUGCUUUGCCAGUGGCAAAACAAAGGGAAGUAAUUGCUACGGACGCCAGCCAGGUGUUCAUGCUAUUUGAUUCGUGUUUUCUGCUCUUAAUAAUGCUUCCGUUUUUCUUCUUUUAGAACCCUUCUUUUGUACUCUUACAAAUAACAGAUGAAAGGAGAAGGAUGAAGAAGUCAAGCUAUUGCAGAGAUCAAUUGAGGAGCUCAAAAGAACUUUAGUGUUCUCAAAAGUAGCUUUAUUCAGUUUGAGUGAAUUUUGUGGCCUAAGUGUUGUAGCUAUUCAUUUUGCCACGCAUUCUGAAUGUUAGCACACACCCAUGUUGGUACAGAACUCCUAUUGUUAUGCCUGUUAUGACAACAACUUUCCCAGAUUUUCGUGCAUAAACAUACAUAUGUGGACUAAAUUCUUUUGUUACUUGCUCAGUGAAUACAUAUGUAUGCUUUUUUUUUUGCGGG
This 2107-nucleotide long non-coding RNA is filed under the name Triticum aestivum (bread wheat). RNAcentral's name for it is "long non-coding RNA (TAES_LNC010669)". The record is from RNAcentral. Lineage: Eukaryota; Viridiplantae; Streptophyta; Magnoliopsida; Poales; Poaceae.